Molecule: long non-coding RNA, 1649 nt
Organism: Homo sapiens (human)
Lineage: Eukaryota; Metazoa; Chordata; Mammalia; Primates; Hominidae
Exons: 3
Source: RefSeq, a predicted model, not a curated record
GGGUCCUCUCUAGGAUCGCGGGAGGACUUUGCAUCCCUGUGUAGGGCUCUAAUCUCGGGUUUGGGGAUCUUGCUCCUCAGCUUGUCCGCUCCGAGGAGGUGCACAGGGCGGGGAAAAAGGGAUGAAUUUCCCUUUAUACCGCCCUGCUCAGAUAUUUAUAUGUUCCUUCUAUUUUUCUUGAUGACAAUAAUUGUAAUAGUUACAAUAAAAAUAGUGAUUGUCUGUGGCAGAGGAGCUGAAUGAAACGAGGGUGGAGACAGGAAGAUCAAGAAUAAAUGGUUUCACAAAUCGAAGGGAUUGUCUCUUGAGACGCUGAUUAUUUCAGUGGCACGAUUUAAUGUUUCCUAGAGGAAAUGUUCUUCCUGGAAAUGAGGAUCAUAACCCAGCUGGCUCCAGAUUUCGGAGCGAGGAGGCACAAAUUCUACAGUAUGCUUCAGGGCAACGCGAGUGGGGCUGUAAUGAAGAACAGUCUGUUUCUGGAAGAUGCCAACAUGCUGAACUGACCCAAUCCCCAAUCUGUGCAGAGGCCAAGGCUCUUCUGUCUCCAUCAGUUAGUUGUAGGGAACUUUUAUAAGGCCAUAGGAGUAAGUUUAUGGGAGAGGUGGCAGUAGAGCAGAGGUAACUGACCUGGGAGUUUGGAAACGUGGGUUUUGUUUUUUUGCCUUAGAAGGCAUGACCUUGCUCCAGAAUCUUAGGUAUUUGUGCUGUGACUCUUUAUGAUGGGUUGAAUUGUACCUCCACCUCAUCCCCAAUUAACAGGUUGAAGUUCUAGCCCCUAAUACCUCAGAAUGUGAAAUUAUUUGGCAAUAGAGGCAUUGCAGAUGUAAUUACUUCAAGAUGAGGUCAUAGUGGAUUAGGGUGGGUCCCUCAUCUAAUGACUGGUAUCCUUAUAAAAAAGGGAAGUUUAGAGAUAGUACACAGGGAGAAUGCCAAAUGAAGAUGAGGGUAAAGACUGGGAAAAUGCUUCUUACGAUGCCAAGGAAUGCAAAAUAUAUCCAGCAAAUCCCCAGAAACUAGGAGAGAGGCAUGGACAGAUUCCUUCUCACAGCCUCAAUAGGAACCACACCUUAAUUUCUGACUUCUAGCCUCCAGACUGUGAACCAACAGAUUUCUGUUGUUUAAGCCACCCAGUUUGUGGUACUUUGUUAUAGGAGCCCUAGCACACGAAUGCACACUCUUAUUGGGGUUUGCCAGCAACUCCAUACAGCACCUGUAUCCAUCAAGGAUAUUUCUGGAACCACUGAAUUUGCAAGUAAGCUUGCACUGUUGCUUGGAUUUACUAUAGAGUGCUCUCUUGCCCCAAUAAAAAGUGGAAGCUGGCCAGGCAUGGUGGCUCACGUCUGUAAUCCCAGCACUUUGGGAGGCGGAGGUGGGUGGAUUGCUUGAGGUCAGGAGUUCAAGAUCAGCCUGGCUAACAUGGUGAAACCCCUCCACUACUAAAAUACAAAAAUGCUGGGCAUGGUGGCGGGCGCCUGUAAUCCCAGCUACUAGGGAGGCUGAGGCAGGAGAAUUGCUUGAAUCCAGAAAGCAGAGGUUGCAGUGAGCCGAGAUCACGGCACUGUACUCCAGCCUGGGCUACAGAGCAAGACUCCGUGUCAAGAAAAAAAAAUAGUAAUAAAUAAAAAGUGGAAGCUUUUUAGGUCACCUAA